Molecule: long non-coding RNA, 471 nt
Filed under: Gallus gallus (chicken)
Lineage: Eukaryota; Metazoa; Chordata; Aves; Galliformes; Phasianidae
Description: long non-coding RNA NONGGAT003909
Source: RNAcentral
CUAAGAGCACAGCAGAAAGUUUGCCAAAAAAGGCUACGUUAAAUGCAGUCUUCAGAGGCUGCACAUAAACCACACAUGUCAAAAUCCUGGUGCUUAACUGGCAGCAAGCUUGGGAGUUUGUAACCAGGAAGAAAGAGAAGAUAAGUCUGCUGACAUAACCACAGGAUUUUCUCACUCUCCUCCAGCUGCAGAAGGAAAAAUGGCAUUGUAUGACAGGGCAGCAUGCCAGAAAUAAGUCAGAGACUGUCAGCCACAGGAUAAGGAAGGGUUUCAAGGUUGGAUAUUAGGAAAAAUUUCUUCUCCAGAAGAACAGUGAGGCACUGGAACAUGCUGCCCAGGAAGGAGGUGGAGUCACGAUCCCUAGAGGUGUUCAAGAAAUGUUUAGAUGUUGUACUGAGGGACGUGGUUUAGUGGGGAAAUAUUGGUGGUAGGUGGACAGUUGGACUAGGUGACCUUGGAGGUCUUUUCCAA